GCUUGCUUUGGCAGCAUAUACUAAAACUGGAAUGAUCUAGAGAUUAGCAUGGCCCCUGUUCAAGGAUGGCAUGCAAAUUCGUGAAGCAUUUCAUAUUUUU
RNAcentral lists this small nuclear RNA (100 nucleotides) under Castor canadensis (American beaver). Lineage: Eukaryota; Metazoa; Chordata; Mammalia; Rodentia; Castoridae. The record is from RNAcentral.